This is a non-coding RNA of Paramuricea clavata, 841 nucleotides long. The record is from the annotation of a GenBank genome assembly. NCBI's taxonomy places the organism in Eukaryota, Metazoa, Cnidaria, Anthozoa, Malacalcyonacea, Plexauridae.
UUCGCAUUGACCAAUCAAAUCACGUUCUGAGUUGGAUUAUCCCAGGGCUUCUGAGAGCAAUAAGCGCAGAAGCCCUGGGUACGAGGUUGAGGAUGGACGCAAAUGAACAUUGCGAUAAUUACCAAAUGCUAGCCGGAAAAUUGACCAAAUCAGCCAAAGAUGCCUGCCAAAGCCAGCCGAGUAAAGGCCUAGGUCUAGGCUGAGUUGAACCAUUUCUACUUGAACUGAUUGUAUGAGUAAUUUGUAAUUUGACCAUUUUUGUGUAGUUAUUCUCUUUUAUGUUAUUAGAAGCUAUUUUAAUUUCCCAGGAGCAGAAAAUCUUGUGCUUAACAUAAGGAUAUUUUAAUUUCAUACAUGCACCAUGUAUUCAAGCAGCUAAUUAAGUAUGUUUGUGAAAUACAAUACAACGAAAACUUCGAGGAAUUUGUUUGCUUAGCUUCAAGUUUCAAUUUGUGUGAUGACUUUGAACAGGUAAAUCGACGUUUUCGUUGUGUUUUAUUUGUGUUUUAUUAUCUAUUAAAGGGCCUCAGUAAUUGGUACCGUACUGUUGUGGUGACCCUGCCAUGAAUGCAUGAUAAUGGCGAAGUUAAAUAAAUAAAUAAAUAAAUGUCAAUAUUUUACAUAACCGUAGGUUCAGCAUAGACAUAGUGCUAAGACAUUAAUUCAAAUUACAACAAUAGGAUAAUUUCUUAAGGUCUAGUCCUCUUUUUAAGACACUCUAUAGACGCUUUGAAAUUAAAGGAUUGAAGUUUGUUGAGUUUCCAUGUCUCGAUUGACUGACUAAUUAAAACCGUUAUGUAACCGAUUAUUAAACUCAUUCGUGUACUGACCACGUUAUCCC